RNAcentral lists this long non-coding RNA (574 nucleotides) under Homo sapiens (human). RNAcentral describes it as "long non-coding RNA NONHSAT171785.1". The record is from RNAcentral. Lineage: Eukaryota; Metazoa; Chordata; Mammalia; Primates; Hominidae.
UCUCUGGAACUCCUAUUUCCUCGGGGCAUUGGACCGUGUCUGCCCACCAAGCCCCACUGAAGGGUGCAGGGCCCCCGAGCGGGACUGGAGGCGGGCAGAGAAGGACCUGUGGGAGCAGCUGGCAGAAAGCAGGCAGCAGAGGGCCGAGCUGGCAAGCCGUCUUCGGGCAGUGCCGGAGGCCCUGUCGGAGCAAGCCCUGGUGCUGCAGAGGCGGGAGCACAAGCUGGGACUUGGCUGGUCCCUAAAGCAGAAGGUGGAGUGCUCCCUGGCCUGCCUGGAGCAGGAGAGGCACCAGAUGCAGGGAUCCCAGGGACAGGCUGAGUGGAGGAGGCCAGACCAGAACAUAGAAGACAGGAUCCUGCUGCUGCAGACAGAAGUGGAAAAGGCCUAGCGGCAUUUGGACCAAAUGACCCAACGGAGAUGCUGGUGCCAGGCCUGCAGAUCCAAGAGCAGAGCUGGGAUGGAGGCAGGGCCCAGGAGCUUCGGGACCCAGAGUCUCCAUGCCAGCAGCUGAGACCCCUGCCCAGGCUCAGGACACAGUCCGUCUGCAGGAGCAGUUGCUGAUACUCACUGA